UUUAAUAUGGCAAAAAAGUGCAAUAGACUUAAACCCUAUAAAUAAAGAAAAAAUAUUCUCUUCUUUUAUUAAAA
RNAcentral lists this transfer RNA (74 nucleotides) under Camponotus dolendus. Its description in RNAcentral is "tRNA-Leu". The record is from RNAcentral. Lineage: Eukaryota; Metazoa; Arthropoda; Insecta; Hymenoptera; Formicidae.